This 441-nucleotide ribosomal RNA is filed under the name uncultured bacterium. Its description in RNAcentral is "partial 16S ribosomal RNA". It matches the Rfam family "Bacterial small subunit ribosomal RNA", at positions 338 to 795 of the family's 1533-position model. The record is from RNAcentral.
CCUACGGGGGGCAGCAGUGGGGGAUAUUGCACAAUGGGGGAAACCCUGAUGCAGCGACGCCGCGUGGGUGAAGAAGUAUUUCGGUAUGUAAAGCCCUAUCAGCAGGGAAGAAAGAAGACGGUACCUGACUAAGAAGCCCCGGCUAACUACGUGCCAGCAGCCGCGGUAAUACGUAGGGGGCGAGCGUUAUCCGGAUUCACUGGGUGUAAAGGGAGCGUAGACGGCCGUGCAAGCCAGGAGUGAAAGCCCGGGGCCCACCCCCGGGACUGCGCUUGGAACUGUGCGGCUGGAGUGCGGGAGGGGCAGGCGGAAUUCCUGGUGUAGCGGUGAAAUGCGUAGAUAUCAGGAGGAACACCGGCGGCGAAGGCGGCCUGCUGGACCGCGACUGACGUUGAGGCUCGAAAGCGUGGGGAGCGAACAGUAUUAGAUACCCUAGUAGUC